This 5018-nucleotide long non-coding RNA is filed under the name Sus scrofa (pig). RNAcentral's name for it is "lncRNA (ENSSSCG00055004460.1)". Lineage: Eukaryota; Metazoa; Chordata; Mammalia; Artiodactyla; Suidae. The record is from RNAcentral.
GCCCGAGGGGGGAAGGAAGCAGCUCAGAUAGAGCCUGAGUAAGCACGUCGCACUAAUGCAGAGUCACUCACAGAACCAAACCCUGGGCAAUGACCACGUCCGGCACUAGGAGACUCUCCAUGAAUUAGGCUGAAUCCCACCACCCCGGAUGGGAAGAGUGCCUUCGUCGCCGAGUGGAGACAGAAAGUCAAAACCAGCUGUGCUAGGCUCCGAGGCCUCUCCUUUCAGGGAGGGGCGCCCGUGGGGAUCAAGGCCCCGCUGAGGAGGAAAUUUCCAGACCAGCCACCAUGAGGCUUUUCCUUCUGUUCGAACCCAGUGGGGUUUGAGUCUGGGAUGAUUAUGGGUGAUUUUUAUUGUCUUCUCUACUUUUUUUUAUUUUCCAAAAUGCCUAUAUUAAACAUGCAUCCUUUCUCAUUAAAAAACACGUGUCCACAUAUGCUUAAAUGUAUGUUGAUAUUAACUAUACAUAUAUACACACAAUGCAAUUAAAGAAGAGAGAGGAGAAGCCCCUGUGUACUGACUCUAGGGCCUCGGGGGCAGCCUGAGCUGGGUGGGGGCACCCCCAUCCCAGGCCAGGCUGUGAGCCCUUCCGGCCGUGGCACAGCCGUGUGCGACAGCUGGUGCGCAGUCAAUGCUGAAGGGCAUUUUAGGAAGGCGGCCUCUCCACCCACCCCCUUGGCCAAGCCGCACGCACUGCCCGAGAUGCUGGGGGCACCCGCAAAGACCUUAGGCGAGUCCGAAUCGGAGGCAGUGUUUCUAGAGCAUUUCCUGCCAUGCACCUAAGCAGGCAGGUGGACACGCGGAGGUGAGGGGCGCACAAGGGAGGUUUCCGGAGGCGCCAGCAGCCCGGAGUUUCGAGUUGCAGCCUUGGGCCUGGAACCUCUGGCCCAGCGAAGACCUGAUCAACAGCAGAUGCCCUUCCCACGCAAGCCGGCCCACAUCUCCCUCCUUUCCGGGCCUGAAAGGCCAGGCUGGGAACGAGACAGGGGGAGGUGGGGGACUGCGGACCCUGAGGACCUGAGCGGGGGACGCAGCCCAGGAAGCGCCCCCGCCGGGCCAGGCAAGAACGUCAAGGCUGGGGAGGCUGAGAGAGAAAGCAGGUGUACCCGGCCGGCCGGCCUCCAACAGGAGCUAUCCCCGCUGCCCCUGCCACCAGCCUCCAGCCAGGUGGCAACACCAGCAUGGAGCUUCCCAGGGGGUGGGCAAAGUGGGAGGGAAGGGUCCCGGCAGCAAGAGGAGAGAGGAAUGAGCGGUCAGGGGAAGAGGGGUUCUGAGAGAGGCUGAUGGAGCCCAGAGACGAUGACUGUGCAGAAUGGCACGGGGGACGUCAGGGCCCUUUCUGGGGGCGGAUGCUCACGGCCGCCCCCCCUGCUGCAGAGAGCGGACCAGAAAAUGUUCUCCUAAGUGACUGGAAAAAGACCAGACUACCCCUCUUCAAGUGGUUUUUUGUUGUUUUUUUUUUGUUUGUUUGCUGAGACAUUGACCAGGCAACCAAUUUAUGAGGAAGGCACAUGCCUGGAGCCCCACAUUUUUGCUUGGGCUUAACUUCAGCUCAGGAGGGCGGAUCGUGGGACCGAGAGGCAGCCCAGGCCAGGCCAGAGCAGCCAGCCCGGGGAAGGCAGCUUUGAGCGCGAGACGUGGUGCCAGCAUCCUUGCUCCUUGCUCUGGCGGGCAGGGGAGGAGGCGGCGGCCCGGGACACCGGAAGUGAUCCCUCUACCCACACACAAGUCCUGGAAGAUGAUGCAGGUCAAGGUAAGGGCUCGGAAGAGCAGGGCGGGGGCAGAAGCUGGCAGUGUUGAAAGAAUUCCAAAACACGCUGAAAGAGUUUCUGGAAGUUACUGAUAGGGUAAGACGACCCAUCCUGGAAUUAAAGGAGCCUGGGGUGAAAAUGCCUGCGAAGAUUCGCCUCGGCAGAUUACAGAGAAGCAGCAGGACGACAGCAGGGGACAUUAUCAAGAGGACGAAGGGGUGGGGGUUCGCCGAGGGGGUGGCCUGGGGUCCCGCAGGGGCCACAUUCGAAUCCCAGGUCUCCUCCUCGUUAGCUUGACCUGGACCACUCCUUGCACGACUGACCUUGGGGCUUGUUGGGGGAGGGGGGCGAGAAAUCACGAGUGUAAGACAGCAGCUCACGGGGGGGCAGUCAGCGCACUGGAGCCCAAGGCACUGGAGACACCAGGGGGACAGCGCUCACACCUGCUCAGGUACAUGUGACACGAGUGCGCUCUCACACACAGAGACACACACGAGUCACUCGCCUGGGGAGCCCACGAAGGACCUGGGGCAGUUCGGACGGCUCUAUGAAGCAGGUGGUUGAUGCAUGUCAGUGUGGACAGUCCAGCCCGCAGCCUCCACCCCGCAAACGCGCCCGGGCUCCCCAGGCUGUUCUUCCGCGUUCCCCAGACCAAACCCCAGAGCACCCCUGGCAGACCCCCCGUUUCCUCCCUUCUCUGGCCCCUCUAGGAGCAUCGAGUCCAGGACACCCACCUCUGCCAGCCAGUGAGUCCCCCUUCUCCCCCAGACCAGCCCAGACGCCCUCACGUCCGCCCGCCCUGCUUCAGAAUGAGCCAGUUCAAAGCAGGCCGGCCAACACCCCCGGGGCUUAGCAAACGCCUUCCGCUCCAGCCCGCAGCUCCUUGGUGAGCCUCCCUCAACUGCGCACUGCCAGUGCCGAGGGAUGGGACAGACCCGGAGACCCCGUCUGCGUGGAGAUCCCAACGGUGCCCCCUUAAACUCUCACCCAAACCUACGACGGAGACCCCCUCUGCUCCAUUUUGCACAUCAGAAACCAGGACACGGAAGAAAAAGGCUGUUUUGACGUCAAGCUGGGAGCCUGGCAGUGCAUCUCCCAGCCAGGCCAGGUCCCGGGCAGGUGGGGCCCGGCUGCAGUCUUGCCCUUGGCCUCCAGGCGAGCCAUGCCCACACCUGGUCUGGAAACAUGAGGCUCGGCUGUCCCGACAGUGAACUAGCCUUGCCUCUCCACCAUCUGCGGGGACUUCUGCGCCAGUGAUGUGACCUCCAACUAGACACGCCUGGGACCACGUGGACGGGAGGCGCCCUCUUCCCUCUGUUUCAGAUGCGCCAAAACUCCCUGGCUUUUCCCAGGAGAACCCGCCUGGCCUCGGUCAGUGGGGGAGGAGGGCCACCCAAGGAGAAAAUUUCUGAGGCCUCUGAGAAUUCUCUAGAACUCACGAUCCAUCUUCAGGGAAAACCAAGAGCUGAACGCCUGAGCCUGGUGCUCAGCAAGCCCGCUGGCUCUCACGGUCUCUCUGCCCACGAGAUAAAAGGCAGACUCAGACGUCAGGCCCCCGGGCAUCGCUCCUCUCCGCGUGUUCAUUUUUCUCUGCUGAAGUGCUGAUGGUUGAAAGAUGGGGCCCUUGCCUGGUCCAGCUUCCCUGACCCAGAAGGUGAUGGGGAAGCUGCCCAAGUUUCACUCCUGGGACCUCUGCGGGGCCACUGGGCCCCCACCUUGCCCUCAGAGGGGGAGCCCCCGCAGCCUCCCCGCCCUGAUCUUCUGCAACAUUUGGCUUUUGCUGGCCCGGGGCCGCGUGUGGGAACUGAUAUUAAACAGGCAGGCCCCACCUGGCCACAAUCCUCGCCCAUCACUCCUUCCUUCCCCCUAAAAUGGAAAAAGUGACUCAGCUAGAACCACUCACCCCCCCACCCCCACCGCACAAACCCGCUCCUUGCAGCUGAACACAAGGGCGCAAGGUCAGAGCCUGCCCCAUCUCCUCUGAGAAGCCCAAGGAUGAGGGACUUGGGGGGCUUUGGAAAGUGGGCGCCCCAUACAGCACGGCUUCCUCCCGAAACCAAACAGGCACCAGCUCCCGGCCUGGGCCCCAGGAGACAGGUGGAGGGCAGCCACUGGGUUCCACCAACCUCCUCCUCUCUCAGCCCCUUGCUGCCCGGGGGGGUCCGACCCCAGAUGGAAAGAUGGGGCUGAUGGGGCUGAAACUUCCCUUCACUGCAAUGUCUGGCUCCCAGGAGGCUGGGCAAAACCCAGUUUCCACAACUCGAAUGUGACUGUAAAGACUCCAGCUUACUAGUGGUGGGACUUCUGUGAGCCUCAGUUUUCCUGCCUGGAAGAUGGAGAUGCUCCCACCUUGCCAAGACGUCAUCUGGAUAAAACGACGGUCGACAGCACUCGGGAUAAGGGGAAAGAAAGAUCCAGAAGUUCCGACUCCUCGCCUUCAGAGAAUAUUCCCAAGCAGACACACCUCUCCUGUGUCAGAUGCUCUUCUACCUAAUUCAAGUAUCAGCUGCUGGGUCGAGGAGGCCACUGAGGGGCCGAGGGACCCCAGGGCUGGCUCGGACCAGAGGCCCCUCAUCCUCCAGGCCCAGAGGCGACCAGAGUGGCGGGCAGGCCAAGAGCCUCCAGGUCGGUCAUGCCAACCCAGCCAGCCCAGCUGCUCCCACCCCCCACCCCCGUGCCCUGUGCCUUCCAGCUGGACCCCAGCCCUCCCCAGUGUUUGUAAAUCCUUCUCGCGGGCCAGGCAGCUGUUUGUAAUCGGCCAGGGCCUGGCCAGGAAGGGGAGGUGGGAGCCUGCCCAUGAGAGGCCCAGGGCGCUGCGGGGGGUGUGAGGACAGGGCCGAGCGCUCCUGGGCCAAGAAAAUGACCCGGAGAAGGUCCCAUAAUGAAUUCAGUGGAAGGUUCAACAGCCGCCUCCCCAAAUAUUGUCUGUAAAAUGCACCCCCUACCCCACCUGGAUUGCCCCCCAACCCCGCCCCAAGGUUUGGGCCCCUGGCGCUGACGGUUCAGCCUCCUCUGUGGCCCCAGCCCCGCAAGAGGCAGCUUUAUUCCUAGUUUCAAGCACCUUAGAGAAACCACGGGCACUGCCUCCCUGAGUUCCACCAGUAAGAGAAACAAUAUAAAUAGCAACAAUGCUACAGAAUCGUUAUUAUCCAAUAAUAAUAACACAGAGACCAAGAACAGUUCUUGCUUUCAGGAUGAUUCCAGCAUCCGCUGCCCUGCAUCAAACACAGGAUGCAGGACACCCCAGGAUGGGCCCUCUGUCCACGG